AUUGAACGCUGGCGGCAGGCCUAACACAUGCAAGUCGAGCGGAUGAAGGGAGCUUGCUCCUGGAUUCAGCGGCGGACGGGUGAGUAAUGCCUAGGAAUCUGCCUGGUAGUGGGGGAUAACGUCCGGAAACGGGCGCUAAUACCGCAUACGUCCUGAGGGAGAAAGUGGGGGAUCUUCGGACCUCACGCUAUCAGAUGAGCCUAGGUCGGAUUAGCUAGUUGGUGGGGUAAAGGCCUACCAAGGCGACGAUCCGUAACUGGUCUGAGGGGAUGAUCAGUCACACUGGAACUGAGACACGGUCCAGACUCCUACGGGAGGCAGCAGUGGGGAAUAUUGGACAAUGGGCGAAAGCCUGAUCCAGCCAUGCCGCGUGUGUGAAGAAGGUCUUCGGAUUGUAAAGCACUUUAAGUUGGGAGGAAGGGCAGUAAGUUAAUACCUUGCUGUUUUGACGUUACCAACAGAAUAAGCACCGGCUAACCUCGUG
RNAcentral lists this ribosomal RNA (484 nucleotides) under uncultured bacterium. RNAcentral's name for it is "partial 16S ribosomal RNA". It matches the Rfam family "Bacterial small subunit ribosomal RNA", at positions 30 to 507 of the family's 1533-position model. The record is from RNAcentral.